UUAACCACGUGGAAGAAUAUAUCAGAAUUAACAGUUAGAAGCAUAUCUUGUCUGUCAUGUCGUUUCGGCAAUACGAUUCCUGCGACUAAUUAACAUAAUAUUGGAGUUUUAAAUAUCAAAAUGAUUUCUGCAACUAAUUAGCAUAAUUUGAGUUGUGAAAAUAUACUAACCAGGGAUUGCAAAUAAUGAUUAUGAACCAGAGGCAGGUAUGAUGUCCCUGGCGAAAAGGAUGGAGCUGCAACACAAUAGAAAGCAAUAAAAACAGGUGAUGGAAUAAAGUUUCCUCAAAUAAAAAGUUCAGCUAUAUGAUUGCAAAUAUCAUGAAUAGGUCUUGCUUUUCUGCAGAGAGGUCGUGAGAAAAUCAGUUUUCACAUUUUUGCCAUCGUUAGGAAUGUUACAAGAAAUAAUUAUCUGACCGGAUGCCAGGAAAGCAUAUUUCUCCCUAAAGUUUCUCCCCUUUUUUCUCACUGCCAGUGUCUCCAUUGUAUCNAUAAUUUGAGUUGUGAAAAUAUACUAACCAGGGAUUGCAAAUAAUGAUUAUGAACCAGAGGCAGAUAUGAUGUAACUGGCAAAAAGGAUGGAGCUGCAACACAAUAGAAGGCA
This 603-nucleotide long non-coding RNA is filed under the name Olea europaea subsp. europaea. Lineage: Eukaryota; Viridiplantae; Streptophyta; Magnoliopsida; Lamiales; Oleaceae. The record is from RNAcentral.